Molecule: transfer RNA, 48 nt
Filed under: Chamaeleo africanus (African chameleon)
Lineage: Eukaryota; Metazoa; Chordata; Lepidosauria; Squamata; Chamaeleonidae
Also listed under: 1 other name
Description: tRNA-Tyr
Source: RNAcentral
ACCCCAUAAAUAGAUUUACAGUCUACCGCCUUUAUCGGCCACCUAACC